AGAGCUAAUAGAAAUGUGAAUCAACUAGGAUUCGAACUUAGGACUUUAAUUAGUUAUUAAUCAUCAAGCUCUUUGCCACUUGCGCUGGAGACGAUCGGUGAUUAGUGGAUUAGUGUUAACAUGAACAAUAUAGGAAGCAGAUAAACAUUACUAAUCUCUCCUCCCUCUUAUGUAAGGGAUUGAGUUCUUUACUGGACUGAAAUAAGUUCAAUUUUCUGUACUGUGAUAAUAGACUAAAAAAACUAAUAAGUUGAGUGGGCUGUGAUUCAAAAUUGACCUAACAGAAAGAUACCCAACAAUAAACCUAAAGUGCAGGUGAGUUGAAUCAGGUCGAAGCCCAUGAACUUUGUCGUAGCCCUUAAGGGCAUUGAGUGCGCCCUUUCUAUAAGCACAUACUUUUAAAAUAGUUAAUUAGCACUAAUGAUUCACAAUAUA
This 435-nucleotide long non-coding RNA is filed under the name Ananas comosus (pineapple). RNAcentral's name for it is "long non-coding RNA (ACOM_LNC023764)". Lineage: Eukaryota; Viridiplantae; Streptophyta; Magnoliopsida; Poales; Bromeliaceae. The record is from RNAcentral.